RNAcentral lists this ribosomal RNA (1244 nucleotides) under metagenome. RNAcentral describes it as "bacterial LSU rRNA". It matches the Rfam family "Bacterial large subunit ribosomal RNA", at positions 1564 to 2818 of the family's 2925-position model. The record is from RNAcentral.
UGAAUACGAGAUGCUAUGGCGUCGAAGCAGUGUAUGUCAGACUUCCAAGAAAAGCUCGCAACGUCAUAAAUAAAGAAUGCCUGUACCAUAACCGACACAGGUGGGUAGGUAGAGUAUACUAAAGGGCGCGAGAUAACUCUCUCUAAGGAACUCGGCAAAAUAACUCCGUAACUUCGGGAGAAGGAGUGCCUUCUUUAAGAAGGUUGCAAUAACAAGAUCCAAGCAACUGUUUAUCAAAAACACAGGUCUCCGCUAAGUCGUAAGACGAUGUAUGGGGGCUGACGCCUGCCCAGUGCCAGAAGGUUAAAGAAGUUGGUUAGCUUUUGCGAAGCUGAUGACUGAAGCCCUGGUGAACGGCGGCCGUAACAAUAACGGUCCUAAGGUAGCGAAAUUCCUUGUCGGGUAAGUUCCGACCCGCACGAAAGGCGUAAUGAUUUGGAUACUGUCUCGGAGAGGGACUCGGUGAAAUAGACUUGUCUGUGAAGAUGCGGACUACCUGCACCAGGACAGAAAGACCCUAUGAAGCUUUACUGUAACUUGAAAUUGAAAUUGGACUUUAUUUGCGCAGUAUAGGUGGAAGGCGUUGAAAGUAAUCUUGCGGGAUUAGUGGAGCCAUCAGUGAGAUACCACUCCUAUAAUGUUAGAUUUCUAACUUUGGAUCAUGAUCUGGUCAAAGAACAGUUUCAGGCGGGCAGUUUGACUGGGGCGGUCGCCUCCCAAAUGGUAACGGAGGCGUACAAAGGUUUCCUCUGAACGGGUAGAAAUCGUAUCUAGAGUGUAAAGGCAUAAGGAAGCUUGACUGUGAGACCUACAAGUAGCAGGGACGAAAGUCGGUCUUAGUGAUCUGACGGUGCUGAGUGGAAAGGCCGUCACUCAACGGAUAAAAGUUACUCUAAGGAUAACAGGCUGAUCUCCCCCAAGAGUUCACAUCGACGGGGAGGUUUGGCACCUCGAUGUCGGCUCAUCGCAUCCUGGGGCGGUAGUACGUCCCAAGGGUUGGGCUGUUCGCCCAUGAAAGCGGUACGCGAGCUGGGUUCAGAACGUCGUGAGACAGUUCGGUCCAUAUCCGGUGUAGGCGUUAGAAUAUUGAGAGGAGCCUUCUUUAGUACGAGAGGACCGAGAAGGACAUACCUCUGGUGUACCAGUUAUCGUGCCAACGGUAAACGCUGGGUAGCUAUGUAUGGAGAGGAUAACCGCUGAAAGCAUCUAAGUGGGAAGCCCACCUCAAGAUGAGUAUUCUCAUC